Molecule: ribosomal RNA, 1554 nt
Filed under: Klebsiella variicola
Lineage: Bacteria; Pseudomonadati; Pseudomonadota; Gammaproteobacteria; Enterobacterales; Enterobacteriaceae
Description: bacterial SSU rRNA
Rfam family: Bacterial small subunit ribosomal RNA
Source: RNAcentral
ACUUAAAUUGAAGAGUUUGAUCAUGGCUCAGAUUGAACGCUGGCGGCAGGCCUAACACAUGCAAGUCGAGCGGUAGCACAGAGAGCUUGCUCUCGGGUGACGAGCGGCGGACGGGUGAGUAAUGUCUGGGAAACUGCCUGAUGGAGGGGGAUAACUACUGGAAACGGUAGCUAAUACCGCAUAACGUCGCAAGACCAAAGUGGGGGACCUUCGGGCCUCAUGCCAUCAGAUGUGCCCAGAUGGGAUUAGCUGGUAGGUGGGGUAACGGCUCACCUAGGCGACGAUCCCUAGCUGGUCUGAGAGGAUGACCAGCCACACUGGAACUGAGACACGGUCCAGACUCCUACGGGAGGCAGCAGUGGGGAAUAUUGCACAAUGGGCGCAAGCCUGAUGCAGCCAUGCCGCGUGUGUGAAGAAGGCCUUCGGGUUGUAAAGCACUUUCAGCGGGGAGGAAGGCGAUAAGGUUAAUAACCUUGUCGAUUGACGUUACCCGCAGAAGAAGCACCGGCUAACUCCGUGCCAGCAGCCGCGGUAAUACGGAGGGUGCAAGCGUUAAUCGGAAUUACUGGGCGUAAAGCGCACGCAGGCGGUCUGUCAAGUCGGAUGUGAAAUCCCCGGGCUCAACCUGGGAACUGCAUUCGAAACUGGCAGGCUAGAGUCUUGUAGAGGGGGGUAGAAUUCCAGGUGUAGCGGUGAAAUGCGUAGAGAUCUGGAGGAAUACCGGUGGCGAAGGCGGCCCCCUGGACAAAGACUGACGCUCAGGUGCGAAAGCGUGGGGAGCAAACAGGAUUAGAUACCCUGGUAGUCCACGCUGUAAACGAUGUCGAUUUGGAGGUUGUGCCCUUGAGGCGUGGCUUCCGGAGCUAACGCGUUAAAUCGACCGCCUGGGGAGUACGGCCGCAAGGUUAAAACUCAAAUGAAUUGACGGGGGCCCGCACAAGCGGUGGAGCAUGUGGUUUAAUUCGAUGCAACGCGAAGAACCUUACCUGGUCUUGACAUCCACAGAACUUAGCAGAGAUGCUUUGGUGCCUUCGGGAACUGUGAGACAGGUGCUGCAUGGCUGUCGUCAGCUCGUGUUGUGAAAUGUUGGGUUAAGUCCCGCAACGAGCGCAACCCUUAUCCUUUGUUGCCAGCGGUUAGGCCGGGAACUCAAAGGAGACUGCCAGUGAUAAACUGGAGGAAGGUGGGGAUGACGUCAAGUCAUCAUGGCCCUUACGACCAGGGCUACACACGUGCUACAAUGGCAUAUACAAAGAGAAGCGACCUCGCGAGAGCAAGCGGACCUCAUAAAGUAUGUCGUAGUCCGGAUUGGAGUCUGCAACUCGACUCCAUGAAGUCGGAAUCGCUAGUAAUCGUAGAUCAGAAUGCUACGGUGAAUACGUUCCCGGGCCUUGUACACACCGCCCGUCACACCAUGGGAGUGGGUUGCAAAAGAAGUAGGUAGCUUAACCUUCGGGAGGGCGCUUACCACUUUGUGAUUCAUGACUGGGGUGAAGUCGUAACAAGGUAACCGUAGGGGAACCUGCGGUUGGAUCACCUCCUUACCUUAAAGAA